ACGGGGUAGCAAAUUUGGGAAAGGGAACGUUGGGGUUUAGGUUUUCGCCAUUGAUUGCAGAAGAUGUCUCAGGUGGCGGCUUAGGAGGGUCUGAUAGGGUUUUUUGGGGGAGAAGGAUGAUAGUCGUAUGGCUGUGGGUAUGAGAAGUAAUGGAGCUAAGGUUAAUACUAAAGGGGUUUUGGGUAGAGUUAGUACUAAAGGGGUUUUGGGUCAUGUUGCUGAAGUGGACUGUGAGGCUGAGGCAGGCUUUAGGCCUUCGGUUGGACUUAUCUUGGGCUCAAGUUCUAGUGGACUAGGAAAUAUUGAGACGAGCCAAAUUGAGGGGGUAUUAGUUUUAAAAUGUUGGGGAAAAAGCCUAUAGGGUCAGAUGGGUUUCCCCAAAAGGAUAAAGACCUGAUAAAUAAAUUUUCCAUUUCUAAAUCUAUUUCUCUCCUUCCGUCUGCAGGUUUAGUGCAAAUAAAGAUGGGUUAUGGACGGAUAAGUGGGCCGUCAAAUGAGAAGCUUGGUGGGCCAAGAGAGGAAAGGCCUGGGUAGGCUGGUCAUUUAGCGUCUAAUGGGUUAACUCCUAGUGGACUGGACAACACGUUUGUGAAUGGACAAAAUAUUAUUUUGGAUAAACAAUACUUUGGUGGGAUGUCUUCUAAUGAUUUAUCAGAAAAGGAAUUUGUGGAAGUGCAAUUGGUUUCUUUAGGAAAUGAGGGAAAUAAAUUGAUUCUCAAUAAUCCCAUGUUCGAAAGCCCUAGUAAAACUGUGGUUAAAUUAUAUACGAAUCUUUUAGACCCAAAUCACCAUUCGGCUGUUAUUAUUAAUGAAAAUAAUUUUCAAAAUCGCUCAAAGGUAAUAAGAAAAAUAUUUUGGUUAAUACUAAUAAAUCUUUUCCUAUUUUCAGAGGGCAUGGUUCUGAGAAUAAAGUUGGCAAUAAUCGUGGUAGAGCUUCUCUUAAUCGAACGUUCAAAGAAAAAUGAGGAAGAUUAAAAAACGUUGGAAUUUCUCGAAUUCCUUUGACAGAAGCUAUAAGCUCCAUGGCUAAUCUCAUCAAUUCGCAAGUUGGGCUUGGAGCUGAUGAAACUGGUGGCAGUGCUAAUGGACAGAUUGGUGGCCUUGGUUCCACAUCUGCAUAAUAUGGGUAUUUAUACGAUGAAAUCAACAAGCAGUAAACCUAAUGGGUGGAGUCAAUUGGGCUUGUCUAUUCAGGAUCAUCAUUUGGCGCAUGUAGAAGAAUCGAAACCUUUGCAUAUUUCAAGGUUUUUCGUAGAGUACUGAUGAGGUUAUCAAAGCCUCUCUAAGUUGGGCAAAGCAGUAUGUUUCAGUUUCUGGUUUGCAAGGCAUUAAAAUUUCAAGAUCGAAUUUCGUCCCUGUUUCUUUGGAUGGUUGGGUCUAUUUGAACACAAAUGGUUCUAUUAAAUAUGUUGAUAUGUUUGCCGCAGUUGGAGGGCUUCUGCAAGACCAUUAUGGAACUUGGAUUGUUGGCUUUACAAUGUAUUUGGGUAAUUGCGAAGUUAUUGAUUCGAAAUUAUGGGGCAUUCUUGAUAGGUUGCAAAUUGCUUUUAAUCGCGGCUUUCAAAAUGUCAUCAUUCGAAUAGACAAUCUUGAAGCUGUUAACCUCAUUCAUGAAGGAGUUCGUGAAGGUUCUAAUUCUGUUUUAGUUAUGAGAAUACUUUUGCUUUUGAAGCUUUUGAGCCACUAGAAUCUUCAACAUAUUCCCAGAGAAGAGAAUAGUAUUGCAGACAGGAUAGUCAAACUUAGGAGAGAUAGGGAACCAGGGUUGCGGUUGGUUGAUAAGAAUUAUGUGAUAAGUUUUCUUAAUGUUUGAUAAUUGGGUUGUAAUUUUUUUUUCACCAAAAAAAAAAGAGAGUAGAGAAAUUGAUUGAUUUCAAGUCAACCAAAAAAACAUUUAAUAGAAUAUUUUAUUUAAUGGUCAAAGUCUA
Gossypium raimondii (Peruvian cotton) is the source of this 1928-nucleotide long non-coding RNA. RefSeq lists it as uncharacterized. The transcript is spliced from 2 exons. The record is from RefSeq and is a predicted model, not a curated record. Lineage: Eukaryota; Viridiplantae; Streptophyta; Magnoliopsida; Malvales; Malvaceae.